AGGCCCAAAUCUGCAUAAGAUGCAAAAUAUUACAAUCUAAAUAAAAUGAAUAAUCAAUUGUAAUUUUAAAAGCAUUACUUGCAAGGCGAGUGGAAAUCCAUAAAUUGAAUAUGGAUAUUUCUCAUUAUUUAUCAAAUAUGAUUUCACCAACGAUCUCCAGUCUCUCGUGAAUACAUCUAUUGUACGCCCAAACACCUUUCUCCCCCAAGGAUAACUAUUAAAAGCCUCUAGGUCAUCAAUCAUUGACAAGUGUUCUAAAUUUUUGUAUGUGUAGUUUUCUUAGGGCAGUAGUACCGUUUCCAAAAUAUAUACAAGCUCAAUCCUGUACUUGUCUUCCGUACGCACUUUGUGACUUUCAAUAGCUUUCUUCAAAUUGUACACCGUUAUGCCUUUCUUGCACUUUUUAAAGUGUUUCUUCACCAAUCUAUCAUUAGUCACAAUAUGGGGCUCCAACGAAGGCUCCUCACUUGCUCUCAACCCCGUUAUCAACGAGAACUUGUAUAAUGAAAAUCGUGUUAGCUUACCUCCAAUUGAAAACCAGAUCUCAUUUUUUUUUGUUACAAUCAUUCUCAUUACAAGUUGGUGGACUAGCUAUGCUGAAAGAGGUAUGCGCUUCAUUCAAUAAAGUUGUCCGAAACAAGAUUCCAUCAACAUUUCUUGAUGAACAUCAUCUAACAUUUCCCGAACAUAGUCAAGUUUUUGAAGGGAAGACUUUUACGAAGGCCUGCCUUUAAUUCUAUGUUCAAUGGAAAUCACAUAGUCAAAUGAGCGUUCCAUUUUUGUAAUGAAAAAAUAAAAUGAUCAUGUUAAGUUGUCAAAAUUACAUAAACAACAGGGUGACAUUUUUAGAAUUACAUAAACGCAGGGUGACAUUUUCAGAAUUACAUAAAUAGCAGGGUGACAUUUUCAAAAUUCCUAAAGAAGACGUGAAGAUUUCAGUUGACCACCAUCAUUUUGCUGCAAUCAAAAGUUUCCGCUAAAACCAUGUUCAAGUUUCCGCAUAGAUUUUAGUUUCUGAACAUUUGGAUCAAUAAACUAUAGAAAACUCUAAAACAGAUUAAUGAAAUUACCUAAUAAUUAACAUAUUGAAAAUCCACAUUUCCCCUGGCACUCAAAGAAAAAAAAAAAGCUAAAUAGAAGGGGAGAAACCAGGAAUAAUAUUCCAGUGUGAGUGAAAUUUCAUCAAGGCCGGACUUUAUUUUCGAUCAUGAAUUCAAUGAUGGUAAAAAUAUAAACUAGUAUUAUGACAGCAUUAAAAUGGCAUAGUUUAUGAAUUACUAUUGUUCCUUUCAAAUUUUCAACCAACUAUACUCCAACCAAAUAACUACUAAACUCAUGAUAAGUGCAUUUCAGAAUGAAAGUGAACAAUAGAAAUGUAUGGAUUUUCAUACUCACAUUAAACUUGAAAACAUUUUAUUAAAAAUAAGAUAUUAAGUGAAACAAAUCCCCCUAAAAAUUAAUAGGUACACUUAGGUAUAAACUCAAUGAUGAUUCUAUGCCAAGUACAAAAAGGUACACUUAGGUAUAAGAUAGUCUUUCCUUUUUCAAGAUGAUUUUGCACUUUAUUGUUUAACCUUUGGUUUUGAUUGGUUUAAUACAAGAAAUUGUCAUUAAAAUUCUUUCUAGUUAUAAGCGUGAUUAGAAAUUUAUGAACCUGCAAGUCUCAAACCCAUUCUGUAGGGGUCUUUCAAAUAUGAAUUUCCACUUGAUUUUUGAUUGAGGUCUAAAGAGACAUCCCGUAAAAAGCUAAUGUCCAUAUUGUAGAAUAAGAAUCUUUUUCAAUGUAUUAAUAGUUGUCACUAACAAUACAAAGAAGCCAUUUUUCCAUUCAACGAGAUAAAUAGGCUUGGCAAGAGUUAGGGAAAACAGAGGAGCUACGAGUAAUUGGAUGCAACUUUAGGUAAUUGAACCAUUUUGAAUCCCAAAACAUAUAAAAUUUUAAAGCAUUCCAUUUUACUUGAAUUCAAAAGUUAAUAUUACUAAAUACAAAAUUUUCACCUUUUGCGAGCUGCAUUAAUAAAUCACUCGAUCAUAGGAUAGGUCGAAAUUUUCUAACCAAUAUGACAUUCUAUUUGUGAAUAUCGAACAAGAUGAAUCUAUGUUGCCAUUUGUGAAUAACAUUUUCUUAAAAAUAACUCUUUCUAGUUUGUGCAUUGAGUGUUUAUGGAACAUAAGGAUUUUCUUAUUUUGAAUUGGAAUUAAUAGUUCAUGAGCAUUGCAGAUGUUAUAUAUAGAGAAACAUGGUCCAAUAGGGGGCCAUAAUAAUGUGCUAUCAAACAUUUAAAACCUACUAAAAAGGUCCAACUGGAGUCUCCUGUUCACUUUGACAGAAGCUAAAUUGAUAUUAUAUUGAUAGCACAAAUUGAAGGGAGAGACUGGCAGUAAAUAUAUAUUAUAGUUAGACAUUCGAGGCAUAUUUAACUAGCGCUCUUACACCUACAUUAGUUACCAUGAUCUUCCACGUCUUGAUUAUCUUAGUCUUCAUAAUUUUUUCUGCUAAUUCUGUUACUGCUUUUUUUUGACAUCCUCUUCUGAAAUUGCCAUCUUCAAAGCAACUAACCUACCUCAAUCUCCUUUCAUCUAAUCUAAGUAGACCCUUUCUGAAAACCAGGUUAGCAGAGACUAGUAAUUUGGGUCAUAGAGAGGCAAAAGAAGAAAUGAGACCCUGGAAUUCAAAAUGUAAUAUUAAUAAAUCAACAUAUUGAUGAUAAAUGCAGUACAUUAAGAUUUUGCUCAAGUACUCAUUACAUUCUAAAAAAACUAUAUACCAUGGUUUUCCUAUGCAAUUAUGGGUCAAUAACUCUAAAUAUCGUUAGAAAUUUCAUACCUAUGGAUAGCCCAGUAAGAUAUUGGUUCCUAGAACUGAAUUGGUGAAUAACUCUUAUGCAGGGGCGACUCCAACUCGCGAAAAUGGCAAUAAUGAUUCGCUAUACUGUAUGAACUCCGUAAUCCGUGAAGGAAGAAGACAAGAAGGGAUGGGGCUGAAUAUAUUGAUUUCGCGUCGGCGAUUCGAAUGGGAGGAACCGAUUGUGGCGCUCAAGAGAGAAGAACUGAAUGCCAAUCUAGGGUUUGAAUCGAUUUUGGAAUGGGAGAGGAAAUUCUGUAGUGUUG
Molecule: long non-coding RNA, 3111 nt
Filed under: Olea europaea (common olive)
Lineage: Eukaryota; Viridiplantae; Streptophyta; Magnoliopsida; Lamiales; Oleaceae
Description: long non-coding RNA (OEUR_LNC000445)
Source: RNAcentral